AUUCCUGUGUUGCUUAGUACGGCGAGUGAAGCGGCAAAAGCUCCAAAUUUGAAAUCUGGCACCUUCGGUGUCCGAGUUGUAAUUUGAAGAAGGUAACUUUGGAGUUGGCUCUUGUCUAUGUUCCUUGGAACAGGACGUCACAGAGGGUGAGAAUCCCGUGCGAUGAGAUGCCCAAUUCUAUGUAAAGUGCUUUCGAAGAGUCGAGUUGUUUGGGAAUGCAGCUCUAAGUGGGUGGUAAAUUCCAUCUAAAGCUAAAUAUUGGCGAGAGACCGAUAGCGAACAAGUACAGUGAUGGAAAGAUGAAAAGAACUUUGAAAAGAGAGUGAAAAAGUACGUGAAAUUGUUGAAAGGGAAGGGCUUGAGAUCAGACUUGGUAUUUUGCGAUCCUUUCCUUCUUGGUUGGGUUCCUCGCAGCUUACUGGGCCAGCAUCGGUUUGGAUGGUAGGAUAAUGACUAAGGAAUGUGGCUCUACUUCGGUGGAGUGUUAUAGCCUUGGUUGAUACUGCCUGUCUAGACCGAGGACUGCGUCUUUUGACUAGGAUGUUGGCAUAAUGAUCUUAAGCCACCCUCUGAAAAAAGGGGGGAAAAAAAAAAAACAACCGAUAAAAAAAAAAAAAAAAAAAAAGAAAAAA
RNAcentral lists this ribosomal RNA (632 nucleotides) under Debaryomyces hansenii. Its description in RNAcentral is "partial large subunit ribosomal RNA". It matches the Rfam family "Eukaryotic large subunit ribosomal RNA", at positions 66 to 664 of the family's 3401-position model. The record is from RNAcentral. Lineage: Eukaryota; Fungi; Ascomycota; Pichiomycetes; Serinales; Debaryomycetaceae.